CAGUCGCCGCGGUAAAACGGAGGGUGCAAGCGUUAUCCGGAUUUAUUGGGUUUAAAGGGUCCGUAGGCGGAUCUGUAAGUCAGUGGUGAAAUCUCACAGCUUAACUGUGAAACUGCCAUUGAUACUGCAGGUCUUGAGUAAAGUUGAAGUGGCUGGAAUAAGUAGUGUAGCGGUGAAAUGCAUAGAUAUUACUUAGAACACCAAUUGCGAAGGCAGGUCACUAAGAUUUAACUGACGCUGAUGGACGAAAGCGUGGGGAGCGAACAGGAUUAGAUACCCGAGUAGUCCCUGUCUCUUAUAC
RNAcentral lists this ribosomal RNA (301 nucleotides) under uncultured bacterium. RNAcentral describes it as "partial 16S ribosomal RNA". It matches the Rfam family "Bacterial small subunit ribosomal RNA", at positions 509 to 807 of the family's 1533-position model. The record is from RNAcentral.